AUAUUAAUAAGGGGAGGAAAAGAAACUAACAAGGAUUCCCUUAGUAACGGCGAGUGAAGCGGGAAGAGCUCAAUUUGAAAAUCGGUCACCUAACGGGUCGACCGAGUUGUAGCCUAGAGACGUACUAUCAGCUGAAACCUGGGUAUAAGUUCUUUGGAAUGAGGCAUCAUAGAGGGUGAGAAUCCCGUUUAUGACCCAAAGCUUUCAGCGUACGAUGUAUGUUCAUCGAGUCGAGUUGUUUGGGAUUGCAGCUCUAAAUGGGUGGUAAGUUUCAUCUAAAGCUAAAUAUAGGCGAGAGACCGAUAGCGCACAAGUA
RNAcentral lists this ribosomal RNA (316 nucleotides) under uncultured eukaryote. RNAcentral describes it as "partial large subunit ribosomal RNA". It matches the Rfam family "Eukaryotic large subunit ribosomal RNA", at positions 40 to 350 of the family's 3401-position model. The record is from RNAcentral.